AAUAGAUACCCAGGUAGUUCACGCCGUAAACGAUGUCGACUUGGAGGUUGUUCCCUUGAGGAGUGGGCUUCCGGAGCUAACGCGUUAAGUCGACCGCCUGGGGAGUACGGCCGCAAGGUUAAAACUCAAAUGAAUUGACGGGGGCCCGCACAAGCGGUGGAGCAUGUGGUUUAAUUCGAUGCAACGCGAAGAACCUUACCUACUCUUGACAUCCACGGAACUUUUCAGAGAUGAAUUGGUGCCUUCGGGAACCGUGAGACAGGUGCUGCAUGGCUGUCGUCAGCUCGUGUUGUGAAAUGUUGGGUUAAGUCCCGCAACGAGCGCAACCCUUAUCCUUUGUUGCCAGCGGUUAGGCCGGGAACUCAAAGGAGACUGCCAGUGAUAAACUGGAGGAAGGUGGGGAUGACGUCAAGUCAUCAUGGCCCUUACGAGUAGGGCUACACACGUGCUACAAUGGCGCAUACAAAGAGAAGCGACCUCGCGAGAGCAAGCGGACCUCAUAAAGUGCGUCGUAGUCCGGAUUGGAGUCUGC
Molecule: ribosomal RNA, 532 nt
Filed under: uncultured bacterium
Lineage: Bacteria
Description: bacterial SSU rRNA
Rfam family: Bacterial small subunit ribosomal RNA
Source: RNAcentral